GGGGAAACAACGCCCCUGUGGCUAUAAAAGGAUCCUCAGACGUGCCUCAAGCCUGGGAUGACCCCGCUGCUCUUGCUCCAGCGUCUGCAGACACAUCACUCCAGAGUCGAUUUUUAAAAACAAGAUUAUUUCUGCCCCAGCAGCACUAAGAACAUCUGCCCAGUCACACGUGCAUCAGUGAAGCAUGUCUGGACAUGUCUCCAGCAUUGAAGGAGUCUCCAUAAACGCAGGCUGAGGAGGCUGUGCAAAAUGGGCAGCACAACCUCAAAACCCACUGAGAGGAGAGGAGGAGCUGGAGCAGCCACAGGACAAGCUCCAGGAGAGGAGAGCGGCACAAACAGGAGAUCCAGGAAGAGGAGUCCUAGGAAACACGUCUCCAGCACACACACACUGACUUGACAGGAAGAAUCCUUGGACUUGCUCUGCAAGCAGUGGCGGUGGAGAGACUGGUUUGAGCUGACUUUGUGGAAGAGGGUGAUCUGUUCGAGAUGAUUCCUCAUGAACUUCAUGGAGCUCAUUUUAGAAGUUGGAGUAAUUCCAUCUUCUCUUGUGUGAAACCUGGAGCUGGCCACCAGUAAACACAAAAGGAGCCAGAGCCUCAGAGAGCACAGCAAGGCUGGUCCCUGCAGGUAGCUACUGAAUGUAGUUGAGUUUGUGAUCUCAGAGGAACCUAGAAGAAAUAAGAGGGAAA
This 691-nucleotide long non-coding RNA is filed under the name Oryzias javanicus (javanese ricefish). RNAcentral's name for it is "lncRNA (ENSOJAG00000015307.1)". The record is from RNAcentral. Lineage: Eukaryota; Metazoa; Chordata; Actinopteri; Beloniformes; Adrianichthyidae.